CACACUACUGCGCAAGCAAUCAAGUGGAAUAGGGAAGUCCAAGAGGAGUCUUGCUUUUGUUUCUCCGUGAACUAUGCACAUGGCAGAUGCGGGCCUGGCGCAAGCGCUGGUUUGUCCUCCGGCGAGGCCGCAUGAGCGGCAACCCCGAUGUCUUGGAGUACUACAGGAACAAGCACUCCAGCAAGCCCAUCCGGGUGAUAGACCUCAGCGAGUGUGCAGUGUGGAAGCAUGUGGGCCCCAGCUUUGUUCGGAAGGAAUUUCAGAAUAAUUUCGUGUUCAUUGUCAAGACUACUUCCCGUACAUUCUACCUGGUGGCCAAAACUGAGCAAGAAAUGCAGGUGUGGGUGCACAGCAUCAGUCAGGUCUGCAACCUUGGCCACCUGGAGGAUGGUGCAGCAGAUUCCAUGGAGAGCCUCUCUUACACGCCCUCCUCCCUGCAGCCAUCCUCUGCCAGCUCCCUUCUUACCGCCCAUGCUGCCAGCUCCUCUUUGCCAAGAGAUGACCCAAACACUAAUGCCGUAGCCACUGAGGAAACCAGAAGUGAGUCAGAGCUUCUCUUCCUUCCAGAUUAUCUGGUUUUGUCCAACUGCGAGACUGGAAGACUGCACCAUACCAGCUGAUGUAGAAGGCCAAUCCUUAAGACACCGAGACAAGCGGCUUAGUUUGAAUUUGCCAUGCAGGUUCUCCCCGAUGUACCCCACAGCUUCAGCCAGUAUCGAAGACAGCUAUGUGCCCAUGAGCCCCCAGGCUGGUGCCUCUGGUCUUGGACCCCACUGCAGCCCUGAUGACUACAUUCCAAUGAACUCAGGAAGCAUCUCAAGCCCGUUGCCUGAGCUGCCUGCAAACCUGGAACCUCCCCCAGUGAAUAGAGAUCUCAAGCCUCAGAGGAAAUCACGGCCACCUCCUCUGGACCUGAGAAACCUCUCCAUCAUCCGGGAACAUGCAUCUCUUACCAGGACCCGCACUGUGCCUUGCAGUCGAACCAGCUUUCUCUCUCCAGAAAGAAAUGGUAUUAAUUCUGCAAGAUUUUUUGCUAAUCCUGUUUCCAGAGAAGACGAAGAAAGCUACAUUGAAAUGGAGGAGCACCGAACAGCCAGUUCCCUGAGCAGUGGUGCUCUUACGUGGACAAAGAAAUUCAGCCUAGAUUAUUUGGCCCUGGACUUCAAUUCAGCAUCACCAGCCCCCAUGCAGCAGAAACUUCUCCUUUCAGAAGAACAAAGAGUAGACUAUGUCCAAGUGGAUGAGCAGAAGACACAGGCUCUCCAGAGCACAAAACAGGAGUGGACGGAUGAAAGGCAAUCCAAAGUAUGAGAGGUGCGGGCUUGUGCCAUGUGUGAAACAGGGAAGCUUGGGGCUCAGUUUGAGUUUUUUCUUUUUCUUUUUUUUUUUUUUUUUGUCCACUAAAAACACACUGAUGGUCAACACAGGUCAAAACCAAGAGAGAAUGUGUAGUUUUCAAGGUCUUGGCCAGAACCUUUAGGAAAGAAGACCUGUUUAUACAUUGAAGGAAGAAAAGAAGGAAGCAGUUGCCUUCCGGAGGGGGCUCUGAGAGAAUCUAGCCUCCCCUCUGUCCUAUUGGAGCAAAGAUUGGAGUGAGUGUUGCCACCAACAGGAUUUUAUCGUUUGACUCCAAUACCUGAAAUUCUGACUUCUCUCCUGUGCUUCAAUGAGAAUGAUAAAUUAUCCUAGCAAAGGGGCCUCUGGAGACCAUCUUGUUCCAGCCUCUGAAGACAGUUGAGGAGAUCAAGCCCAGCAAUGGUGGCAGAAUCUUACUCCAAAGACUUCAGCAGACUAGUCAUUUCAAUACCCAAAGAAAGACAAGUGACAGGGGCAAUGGAUCUCAGGCUCUGAGAUAAGUAUAUCAGAUGACACUGGUGGCUCUAAGGAUAUUGCAAUUAAGCAGCUACCUGUAGCCAGGUAUUCUGCUGCUCUUGGCCUUUUCCCACGCAUCGUCUCAUGUCUUCUCCGAAAGACCUUGGAAGAUAGGCCUGGAAGAGACUGUUGAUGCCACUUUGAAGAAAAGAACACUGAGAACUAGAGGAGGGAACACUUUGCCCAAGAUUACUCACAAAGCCAAGACCCAGAGUCCAGCUUAGAGAAUAGAGUUGUUCAGGCUGCCAAUUGCAAGCUCAUUCCUCUACCUCAUACUUCCUCUGAGGAUUUUGACAAAAUGGAUUAAUUGGGUGAGCCUUGGAGACAUGUGGGAAACACCUGCAGACACAAAAUGAGUAAUCAUCCUGUCUCCCUUUCAAUAGGGAUCUGAACAGGUGUUUUGAUACUUGAAAGAUGUGCAUGUCAAGUGAGGGUUUCUUUCUGCGAUGUUCAACUGGAACUCUCCCAUCAGUAGUUACAAUUAGAAAUACCUACUGAUGGUUAGUCUGAAGGCCAUUCUCAUGGUCACCUAUACAGUGUGUUUCCCUGUGAGCUGGCUAAUAAAAUGACCAGGAAAAAACCUAUGAAUUCCAUUCUUAGGUUUCCCAGCCAAUUGCUCCCUUCUGCUUUAGAAGUGACUAGGUACUGAGAGUACAAACACUCCCACUUUAUAAUGAAGGCGUCAUGUCACCCCUUCCUUUACAGGUCCUGGGGUCCAGGAGACCCAGAAUGAAGGUGUCAGUUGGGCAUGAAGUGUUAUUUAGUGUCCAUUCUUGAUCCUUCUGAGCACCUACAGCUGGAAACUAAGCAGAUACUGGUCCUGCAUUCUGACUGAGAUUGUGUCUUCUUUAUGAGGAUAGAUCAAAUUGGCAGUCAGGCCCAUGAUAGUCAGUGCAGUUGGGGCAGUUGUAGACUUUGCUACAGGAUUUCAGGGUUUCCAAUCACCCCACAGGUAAGUGAAUGCCAAAGUCUUCUUUUUUCAGACCAUACAAGAAGUCAUUUUGAUUUUCAAAGAAGCCGUUUUGAUUUUCAAAGAAGCAGGUUCUGGUGACAUUAUUUUCUUCCUUGGACAAAGUGGGGGGAAAUUUCUAAGUAUUUUAACUGAGUUCAGGGUCCUUAGUGAGCCUGGACAGAGCAAGGAGAGGGCUCCCCACUCCCUAAGCCCCACAGCCAGCUCUGCAUCACCACACACAGCCAGAGCCUGUGAGGAGCUGCCUUCUUCCCCAUGUGACUUGCAAAGAGUCUCAGGCAAGAAACCAGGGCUUCAAACUGCCAGUUCCCAUGGAGGGUAGUUCCCUCGUGUGGAGCACUUGUGUUAGGAUCACUGAUUAUCUGACAAAGUCUGGUGCAGAAAAAAAAUUGUAGGCCCAAGUGUCAAGAACCACACCAGAUUGGAGAUAGAAAAGAAUAGCUGAAAUUAUGUCAGUAGUGAAAUGUCACUCCAUUGACCCACCGAAAAAAGAAAUCUGUUUCUACCAAACAUUUCCAGAAACGUAUUUAUAGCAUGAAGAAACACACAUGGGUAGUGUGACCUGUUUGGAUGUGAUUACUUAAAAAUGGAAUGCUCUGAAUAGGCACUCUCUACAUUAAAGGUAUGGAAGGCGAUAGGGGUCAGAAUUUUUAAAAUUUAAUUUUGAAAAAGGUGACUCACCCCUCAUUUCCAGAGUGUAUGCAAUUAUGUCCUGCUUUGAUAAAACUGCUAGAUGAUGGCUAUGCAAAAGCAUAAUGAUUCAAGGAAACAAAGUACAGGUAGUUUUUGAGCUGACAGCAGCAAAGGCACCAUAAGUCAAAAUACUGGUUUUGGUGGAGAUGAUCGAUGUGUGUGUGUGAGAGAGAGCUAUGUUUCUAACCAAGGGCCUAAUGUUUGUUACAGAAAUGAUCCCAGAGACCUACAAGAUGUGGGAAUCAGCAUAACAGGGCAAUGCAGCAAUUAACCCCACAUUGUUUUCUGUAGUUCCUUUUUGUUUCAUUUUCUUCUGUCUCACCUCGUUAGAAAAUUCCUCCCAGUCAGGGGUCGUCCAGUGCAGGACGGGGGACCCAAGGGUCUCAAGCCUGCAAGUCCAGAAGGUGACAAACCCAGGAGCACUGGGAGUUAAGCUUUCCUUGGGGAGGGAAGAGCCUUGAUGUCCAGCACACAGCCUGGCUAUAAAGACACGAAGCGACCUACCCACUGUACAGUCCACUUCACAGGAUCAGCUGAAUCAUGACCUUUAAAAGUUCCGAGUUGAAACUGAAGGCUUUCCUCAGACCUGGCUUUUUCCUCAGUCCCUGUUCAUAUCAUCUCUGCACCCACAAUCACACUGAUUUUUCAAAUUCAUUUUGUUUUUGCUGUUUCAUUUCUGGCAUUAAUAAAAGUCUUAUAAGGAGAAA
RNAcentral lists this small RNA (4242 nucleotides) under Pan troglodytes (chimpanzee). RNAcentral's name for it is "processed transcript". Lineage: Eukaryota; Metazoa; Chordata; Mammalia; Primates; Hominidae. The record is from RNAcentral.